Nicotiana tabacum (common tobacco) is the source of this 389-nucleotide long non-coding RNA. RefSeq lists it as uncharacterized. NCBI's taxonomy places the organism in Eukaryota, Viridiplantae, Streptophyta, Magnoliopsida, Solanales, Solanaceae. The record is from RefSeq and is a predicted model, not a curated record.
AUAAACUUCAUUUUUCUUGUCUUGAAACUGAAGAUCAACAGAAUGUUUAGCAUUCUCCAAGCUUUCAAAGAAACUUCACUUUUCUUGUCUUGAAACCAAAGAUCAACAGAACAUUUAGAAACGUUACAUUCAAGCCUACAAGACGUUAAGCAACAAGACUUUUGCAAAUCAAAUUCUCUUGCGAGAAUAUUAUACGGAGUUUUUCCUACUCCAGUGGCCGAGAUGAUAUGAUGGGACGCCCUCAGAGGCUGAUGAUGUUAUUAAACAUGUACCUAUGCACGACAUGGCAUUCAGACGCAUAUGACACUACAAUUAUUUCAUGAUUUACAAAGUUAUCCAGACUUACAGGGAUGCUAUGUUUCAUGCCCGCAGGUCCCAUAGAUAGGUCG